UACGUAGGGAGCUAGCGUUGUCCGGAAUCAUUGGGCGUAAAGCGCGCGUAGGCGGCCCGGUAAGUCCGCUGUGAAAGUCAAAGGCUCAACCUUUGAAUGUCAGCGGAUACUGCCGGGCUAGAGUCCGGAAGAGGCGAGUGGAACUCCUGGUGUAGCGGUGGAAUGCGCAGAUAUCAGGAAGAACACCAACGGCGAAGGCAGCUCGCUGGGACGGAACUGACGCUGAGGCGCGAAAGCGUGGGGAGCGAACAGG
RNAcentral lists this ribosomal RNA (253 nucleotides) under uncultured bacterium. RNAcentral describes it as "partial 16S ribosomal RNA". It matches the Rfam family "Bacterial small subunit ribosomal RNA", at positions 524 to 776 of the family's 1533-position model. The record is from RNAcentral.